Molecule: ribosomal RNA, 484 nt
Filed under: uncultured bacterium
Lineage: Bacteria
Description: partial 16S ribosomal RNA
Rfam family: Bacterial small subunit ribosomal RNA
Source: RNAcentral
AUUGAACGCUGGCGGCAUGCUUUACACAUGCGAGUCGAACGGCAGCGCGGGCUUCGGCCUGGCGGCGAGUGGCGAACGGGUGAGUAAUACAUCGGAACGUGCCCAGUAGUGGGGGAUAGCUCGGCGAAAGCCGGAUUAAUACCGCAUACGACCUGAGGGUGAAAGCGGGGAAUCUUCGGACCUCGCGCUAUUGGAGCGGCCGAUGGCAGAUUAGCUAGUUGGUGGGGUAAAGGCCUACCAAGGCGACGAUCUGUAGCUGGUCUGAGAGGACGACCAGCCACACUGGGACUGAGACACGGCCCAGACUCCUACGGGAGGCAGCAGUGGGGAAUUUUGGACAAUGGGCGAAAGCCUGAUCCAGCAAUGCCGCGUGUGUGAUGAAGGCCUUCGGGUUGUAAAGCACUUUUGGCGGGAACGAAAAGGACUGUGCCAAUACCACGGUUCGAUGACGGUACCCGCAGAAUAAGCACCGGCUAACUACGUG